CUUGCACGCAUAUAAUGGAAAUAUGUCUAUGGGUAUCUUAGUUCAAUCGAACGGCAUAAAGCUUGUAACAUACACGUGUGAUUUUGUCGGAUAUCUCUAGAAGAAACGACUCUUAUGUAAUGGUCAAAUCAUACACUAAUCCAGUGUGGAAAACCUUUCAAGAUUAUGAGUCUCUUUCUUCUCUAAACAUCUGAACUGUGAGAGUGAGAGCAAAAUGAAGAAUAAAUAGGAUUUCUUGUUAGGGAGGGGUGGAAUCAAAGGUGGUGCCGGUGGUGGCGGCGGAGCUGUUGAUGGUGGUAUUAAUGAAUUGAAGGUGGAUUUGGGGAUGAUCAUCAAGAACAGAAAAGGAAAAAACAAAGCAGCUGCAGAAGAACAGUAGCCGGAACGAUUGAAGUUACACGAUUGAUAAUAUUUGAUUAUUAUCAGGCAAAGAAGUUUAUGUUGAAUUGUUCUAAGGUUUUAGUCUUUAAUUACAAUCGUAGAGAUUUUGAUCACCCAUGCAUGUGCGGUGGUGUACUCUUAGAUCCAAUGAAUAUGAUAUAAAUUUGAUCUGGUAUUUUCUGAAAA
This is a long non-coding RNA of Papaver somniferum (opium poppy), 567 nucleotides long. RefSeq lists it as uncharacterized. NCBI's taxonomy places the organism in Eukaryota, Viridiplantae, Streptophyta, Magnoliopsida, Ranunculales, Papaveraceae. The transcript is spliced from 2 exons. The record is from RefSeq and is a predicted model, not a curated record.